RNAcentral lists this ribosomal RNA (403 nucleotides) under uncultured bacterium. RNAcentral's name for it is "bacterial SSU rRNA". It matches the Rfam family "Bacterial small subunit ribosomal RNA", at positions 362 to 756 of the family's 1533-position model. The record is from RNAcentral.
UCUUUUGCAAUGCCCGCAAGGGUGACAAUGCGACGCCGCGUGUGCGAUGAAGGUCUUCGGAUUGUAAAGCACUGUCAGUCGGGAGGAAGGUGACUCUAUCUAACAGAUGGAGUUGCUUGACAGUACCGGCAGAGGAAGCCACGGCUAACUCCGUGCCAGCAGCCGCGGUAAUACGGAGGUGGCAGGCGUUACUCGGAUUGAUUGGGUGUAAAGGGCGUGUAGGUGGUGAAUUAAGUCGAGUGUGAAAUCCCUUGGCUCAACCAAGGAACUGCAUUCGAAACUGAUUUGCUUGAGUGAUAGAGAGGUAAGCGGAAUUCCCGGUGUAACAGUGAAAUGUGUAGAUAUCGGGAGGAACACCAGUGGCGAAGGCGGCUUACUGGCUAUCUACUGACACUAAACGCAA